Molecule: ribosomal RNA, 328 nt
Filed under: uncultured bacterium
Lineage: Bacteria
Description: bacterial SSU rRNA
Rfam family: Bacterial small subunit ribosomal RNA
Source: RNAcentral
UCUACGGAAUAGCCACGGGAAACGGUGAGUAAUACCGUAUGAGCCCUUCGGGGGAAAGAUUUAUCGGCAAAGGAUCGGCCCGCGUUGGAUUAGGUAGCUGGGGGGGUAAUGGCCUACCAAGCGUACGAUCCAUAGCUGGUUUUAGAGGAGGAUCACCCACACUGGGACUGAGACACGGCCCAGACUCGUACGGGAGGCAGCAGUGGGGAAUCUUAGACAAUGGGGGCAACCGCGAUCUAGCCAUGCCGCGUGAUUUAAGAAGGCCUUAGGGUCGUAAAGCUAUUUCCCCGGGGGCGAUUAUGACAGUAGCCAGGUGAAGAAGGGCCGU